Molecule: long non-coding RNA, 245 nt
Filed under: Nicotiana benthamiana
Lineage: Eukaryota; Viridiplantae; Streptophyta; Magnoliopsida; Solanales; Solanaceae
Description: long non-coding RNA (NBEN_LNC001176)
Source: RNAcentral
CUACUAUUCCUUCUCCUGCUAUUUCCUCUUCUCCUGCCUCCCCUCUAUCCACUGCUUCUCCUGAUUUUCCUGGCUCUCAGCCUGUUACCAUACCCAGAAAAUCCACUAGACAACACAAUCCUCCUUCCUACCUCAAGGAUUAUGUUUACCAACUUCCAGCCUUUUCUGGUUCUUCUUCCUCUAAUUUGGAAUCUGAACCCAUGUAUUACUCUCAAGCUGCAUCUGUCCCAGCUUGGCAGGAUGCC